RNAcentral lists this ribosomal RNA (482 nucleotides) under uncultured bacterium. Its description in RNAcentral is "partial 16S ribosomal RNA". It matches the Rfam family "Bacterial small subunit ribosomal RNA", at positions 30 to 507 of the family's 1533-position model. The record is from RNAcentral.
AUUGAACGCUGGCGGCAUGCUUUACACAUGCAAGUCGAACGGUAACAGCACUUCGGUGGCUGACGAGUGGCGAACGGGUGAGUAAUACAUCGGAACGUGCCUAGUAGUGGGGGAUAACUACUCGAAAGAGUAGCUAAUACCGCAUGAGAUCUAAGGAUGAAAGCAGGGGACCUUCGGGCCUUGCGCUACUAGAGCGGCUGAUGGCGGAUUAGGUAGUUGGUGGGAUAAAAGCUUACCAAGCCGACGAUCUGUAGCUGGUCUGAGAGGACGACCAGCCACACUGGAACUGAGACACGGCCCAGACUCCUACGGGAGGCAGCAGUGGGGAAUGUUGGACAAUGGGCGCAAGCCUGAUCCAGCAAUGCCGCGUGCAGGAUGAAGGCCUUCGGGUUGUAAACUGCUUUUGUACGGAACGAAAAGCCCUCUUCUAAUACAGGAGGGUCAUGACGGUACCGUAAGAAUAAGCACCGGCUAACUACGUG